This 190-nucleotide ribosomal RNA is filed under the name Paramecium sp. 'FL 67'. RNAcentral's name for it is "partial 23S ribosomal RNA". The record is from RNAcentral. Lineage: Eukaryota; Ciliophora; Oligohymenophorea; Peniculida; Parameciidae.
AGACGUCUACGUCGGGAGUCCGAUUCAAAUGCAACCUCUGGUCCCGAAGAUCGUAGUUCCGGUCUCAGAAGGGAUCUCUGCAAAGGCGUUUGUUUUGGAGUAAAACGUGAAGCGGAUCUUUUUCGUUGAUACGUUGCGGCCAGAUGUCGAUCCGGGAUACUUCAUGGUAAUGGCGUCUUCUGCUGAUGUU